This 482-nucleotide ribosomal RNA is filed under the name uncultured bacterium. Its description in RNAcentral is "bacterial SSU rRNA". It matches the Rfam family "Bacterial small subunit ribosomal RNA", at positions 46 to 524 of the family's 1533-position model. The record is from RNAcentral.
GCUUUCACAUGCAAGUCGAACGGUAACGCGGGGGCAACCCUGGCGACGAGUGGCGAACGGGUGAGUAAUACAUCGGAACGUGCCCAGUAGUGGGGGAUAGCUCGGCGAAAGCCGGAUUAAUACCGCAUACGACCUACGGGUGAAAGCGGGGGAUCGCAAGACCUCGCGCUAUUGGAGCGGCCGAUGGCAGAUUAGCUUGUUGGUGAGGUAAAAGCUCACCAAGGCGACGAUCUGUAGCUGGUCUGAGAGGACGACCAGCCACACUGGGACUGAGACACGGCCCAGACUCCUACGGGAGGCAGCAGUGGGGAAUUUUGGACAAUGGGCGCAAGCCUGAUCCAGCAAUGCCGCGUGUGUGAUGAAGGCCUUCGGGUUGUAAAGCACUUUUAGUGGGAACGAAACGGUCCGGGCUAAUACCCUGGACUACUGACGGUACCCGCAGAAUAAGCACCGGCUAACUACGUGCCAGCAGCCGCGGUAAU